GAUGAACGCUAGCUACAGGCUUAACACAUGCAAGUCGAGGGGCAGCAUAUUUAUAGCAAUAUAAAUGAUGGCGACCGGCGCACGGGUGAGUAACGCGUAUCCAACCUGCCGUUUACUCGGGGAUAGCCUUUCGAAAGAAAGAUUAAUACCCGAUGGUAUAUAUUGAUUUCAUGGUCUUUAUAUUAAAGAAUUUCGGUAAACGAUGGGGAUGCGUUCCAUUAGGCAGUUGGCGGGGUAACGGCCCACCAAACCUACGAUGGAUAGGGGUUCUGGGAGGAAGGUCCCCCACAUUGGAACUGAGACACGGUCCAAACUCCUACGGGAGGCAGCAGUGAGGAAUAUUGGUCAAUGGGCGUAGGCCUGAACCAGCCAAGUAGCGUGAAGGAUGACUGCCCUAUGGGUUGUAAACUUCUUUUAUAAGGGAAUAAAGUGGAGUAUGUAUACUCUUUUGUAUGUACCUUAUGAAUAAGGAUCGGCUAACUCCGUGCCAGCCGCCGCCGUAA
RNAcentral lists this ribosomal RNA (503 nucleotides) under uncultured bacterium. RNAcentral describes it as "partial 16S ribosomal RNA". It matches the Rfam family "Bacterial small subunit ribosomal RNA", at positions 28 to 523 of the family's 1533-position model. The record is from RNAcentral.